This 733-nucleotide ribosomal RNA is filed under the name uncultured bacterium. RNAcentral describes it as "bacterial SSU rRNA". It matches the Rfam family "Bacterial small subunit ribosomal RNA", at positions 28 to 776 of the family's 1533-position model. The record is from RNAcentral.
GACGAACGCUGGCGGCGUGCCUAACACAUGCAAGUCGAACGGACGAAGGGAGCUUGCUCCCUGAGUUAGUGGCGAACGGGUGAGUAACGCGUGAGGAACCUGCCUCAAAGAGGGGGACAACAGUUGGAAACGACUGCUAAUACCGCAUAAGCCCACAGCUCGGCAUCGAGCAGAGGGAAAAGGAGUGAUCCGCUUUGAGAUGGCCUCGCGUCCGAUUAGCUAGUUGGUGAGGUAACGGCCCACCAAGGCGACGAUCGGUAGCCGGACUGAGAGGUUGAACGGCCACAUUGGGACUGAGACACGGCCCAGACUCCUACGGGAGGCAGCAGUGGGGAAUAUUGCACAAUGGGGGAAACCCUGAUGCAGCGACGCCGCGUGGAGGAAGAAGGUCUUCGGAUUGUAAACUCCUGUUGUUGAGGAAGAUAAUGACGGUACUCAACAAGGAAGUGACGGCUAACUACGUGCCAGCAGCCGCGGUAAAACGUAGGUCACAAGCGUUGUCCGGAAUUACUGGGUGUAAAGGGAGCGCAGGCGGGAAAGCAAGUUGGAAGUGAAAUCCAUGGGCUCAACCCAUGAACUGCUUUCAAAACUGUUUUUCUUGAGUAGUGCAGAGGUAGGCGGAAUUCCCGGUAUAGCGGUGGAAUGCGUAGAUAUCGGGAGGAACACCAGUGGCGAAGGCGGCCUACUGGGCACCAACUGACGCUGAGGCUCGAAAGUGUGGGUAGCAAACAGG